CAGUUCACAGAGAAGGAAGCAGCAAGAAGAAACAUUGGCAAAGGGGGCUUCUUUGACCACAGACUGAUAUUGGAUCCGUAGUAGAGUACACCAGUGGGCCUGGACCAAUCAAUGACUGCCGCAUAGAGCAACAGCUGCAAGAGGUGGUUGCUUUAAAUUGCAAAAAAAAGCACACAGAGGGAGAAGCAAGUGGAGAGAAGCAAGCAUUCAAGAAGUAGGAGAGAGAGGGCACUCAAAGACAGCAGCAGAAGGCAGCAGCACUUGGAAGCAGAGAAGAAGCAUCAGCAGAACGAGCUCCCUUGGCCAGCAGACUGGUAUUGGACCCUUGACGGAGUGAGUGACUCUGAACCCAAGCAAGAUGUCCUGAGAUUUGAAAGCACAGAAGAGUUUCCCAGCAACGGAGUCAACUUUGAUCAUUUGAUGAUUAAAGCAGCUUCAUCAGUGAGGCUUAGACUAGCCACUCCCCUACUGGUCUCAGCUUGAGUCUUGCUCAAAACAAGCUCAGAUUCCAGGCUCAAAGCUUUCUGGGACACAGCAAAGGAACAUCCCAGAUGGAGAAGAAAGAGGCAAGCACAGAGGUUUCAGAUGAGAUUCCACUAUCCCA
This is a long non-coding RNA of Ornithorhynchus anatinus (platypus), 604 nucleotides long. RefSeq lists it as uncharacterized. NCBI's taxonomy places the organism in Eukaryota, Metazoa, Chordata, Mammalia, Monotremata, Ornithorhynchidae. The record is from RefSeq and is a predicted model, not a curated record. The transcript is spliced from 4 exons.